CAGGUUUUCAUUGUGAUGUGCGUUUCCUUUUUAUUUCUUGACUUUUGAAUUGGUAUGUGAGCAGGGCGAACAAGUUACUGGCACUCAGGAGCUGAAGAUUGCAUGAGCAUUGAACACCUAAUAGAUUGGCACAUAAGAUACUGGAAAUCUGCUCUCAGGACUCUUGGAGCCUUCCCUUCUGCAGGCUGCACAGCCCAGCUCUCAGCCUGUCCUCACAGGGAGGUGUUCCAUCCCUGGGCUCAUUCCUGUGGCCCUCCUCUGGACGCUCUCCAACAGCUCCAUGUCUCUCCUGUACUGAGCACUCCCCAUCUGGACGCAGUGCUCCAGGUGAGGUCUCACAGCACAGAGCAGAGGGGCAGAUCCCCUCCCUCACCCUGCUGGCCACAAUGCUUUGGAUGCAGCCCAGGAUGUGGUUGGCUCUCUGGGCUGUGAGGGCACAGUGCUGGCUCAUGUCCAGGUGCCAUCCAUGAGUACACCCAGGUCUUUUUCAGCAGGGCUGUGCUCCAUCUUUAUAUCCUCAUCUUGAACCGAUAGUUUGGGCUGCCACAACCCAGGGGCAGAGCUUGCACUUGGCUUUGUUGAGCCUCACGAGGUUCUCCUGGGCCCGCUGCUCAGCCUGCCGAGGUCUCUGUGAUGGCAUCCUAUCCCCGGGCCGUGCUGACUGCACCACACAGCUCGGUGUUGUCUGUGAACUGCUGAGGGCGCACUCAAUCCCACUGUCAGUGCCACUGAUGAAGAUGUUCAAGAGCACCACACCCCCGUACUGGCACUUAAGGGACACCAUUGGUCUCAAUCUGGACAUUGAGCCAUUGACCGCCACUCUCUGGGUAUGAUCUUGCAAGUUCCUCAUCCACUGAACAGUCCACCCAACAAAUCUGUAUCUUCCUGAUUUGGAGAGAAGGAUGUUGUGGGAGAUAAAUGUCAG
This 925-nucleotide long non-coding RNA is filed under the name Gallus gallus (chicken). RNAcentral's name for it is "long non-coding RNA NONGGAT005774". Lineage: Eukaryota; Metazoa; Chordata; Aves; Galliformes; Phasianidae. The record is from RNAcentral.